GGGUUGAGGCAUGAAAGAGAAGGGUACGCCAUACACAUGCUAUUGUUUAUAGUGCGAAUCAUACGCUAUGCCUUUCCAUUUUCGGAGGAAGUGUGUGGACAUGAGAAACGAAAAAUCAAUCCAUUCCUAACACAAAAUAGCUUAAAUGGAUCAUUGUCAAAUUCACGACCAUGGUUACUUUGAAAUGAUUUUAUGGGUCUCUCAAAUUGGGUUUGAACAUAAGCCCAGAAGUCUAAAAAGGUCUGGAAUGAUUGAUAUUUGUAAGCCAGGGGAUAGUCCACACAUAAUGGGUGAAAUCAUCAAUAAGAACAAGAUGAUAUUUAUGGCCUUUAUUGCUACGAAUAGGAGAAGUUCAUAAAUCGACAUGAAUGAUAUCAAAAGGGCAAGAAGUAGUACUAGUUGAUUGAUAAAAAGGCAAUCUUGUAUGUAUCCCAUUGUGAUAAGAAUCACAAAACAUGGAGUCAUGCUCCUUAUUAAAACUAACAAAUUUAUUUUUCCUAAGAAAACUUAAAGCAGCUUCACCGGGGUCUCCUAGACGACUGUUCCAGGUGGAUGGGGAGAGUCCAGCAAAUGUAGUAGCUAAGAAUGUGGAUUGGGCCGAGUUCACUACAAGAAAAUGGUGAUUUUAAAACUGAAAUUUCCGACCGUAGGAAAAGUAAUUUUAUCGACUAAUUAAUAGGUAGUCGUUAAAUUCAACUUUUACCGACUAACAUUUGGUGGUCGGUAAUUUACGACUACUUUACAGGUAAACUACGACUACUAAAUUGUCGUUAAUAAAGUCGACCAAAACAAAUUUUCGAAAAAAAUUACUGACUACUUUUACCGACCAAAUAUUUUUACCGACUACCCAAUGUAGUCGGAAUUUACCGACUACUUUGAGGUUGGUCGUUAAAAUAAAGUUUACCGACUACUUUGUAGUUGGUAAAAAAAAAACCGAAAAUUCUAACAACUUUUCGAAAAAACUUACCGACUACUUUUACCAACCAAAUAUUUUUACCGACUAUCUAAGGUAGUCGGAAUUUACCGACUACAUUUAGCUUGGUCGUUAAAAUAAAAUUUUACCGACUACUUUGUAGUUGGUAAAAAAAAAAAAAAAAAAAAACGGAAUUAUUUUCCGACCAAAAUAGUGGUCGUUAUUUUUUUAAAUCAUAAAUUUUCGUUCAUAACCCCAUCACAAACUGAGAACCCUAGAAGCCCAUUACCGACUACUCUUAUUAUUAACCAAACCCUAAAACCCACCCUUACAUUUGCUCACAUUCACUAUCUCUCUUUCUCACAGCCGCUCAAACUCAUUCUCUCACCUACCUCCUGUCUUUCUCUCACUUGUCUCCUACCCCUUUCUUUAGAUCCCCCAUCUUUCUCUCACAUUACCUCCAUCUUCGUCUCUCUCAUCUCCAUUUAUUCAUUUUAAGUUAAGAAAUAACAAAAUCAAAACAAUAUAUAUAAAAAACUUCAAGAACAAAUUCGAAUAACAAUUUUGGGUGCUUGUGUUGAUUUGUCCUCUUCAUCUCUUGUCGUUUCCCCAUGGAGAACAAAAGGGUCGUGGUGAGUGGGGCGAGAAAUCAGAUCGGACAAUUUGGUUUUGAUUUUUGUGAAUUUCGUGAAAUCAGAUCGAGAAAUCAGAUCGAACAAUCAAAUCGAACAAAUCAGAUUUCAGAGUUGGAAUUUGUGAAUUUAGGUUUUGUGAUUUCGUGUGGUAUUUGUUUUAGAUUAGAUCAAGUAUUGUAAUUUUUUUGUAUUAUUAGAUCUAAGUUGUUGGUAUAAGUAUUGUAAUCCUUAUACUCCUUGAUAACUCUUGAUGAUAUAAAAGUUUUGGUUUUAUUUU
Long non-coding RNA from Spinacia oleracea (spinach), 1825 nucleotides. RefSeq lists it as uncharacterized. Lineage: Eukaryota; Viridiplantae; Streptophyta; Magnoliopsida; Caryophyllales; Amaranthaceae. The transcript is spliced from 2 exons. The record is from RefSeq and is a predicted model, not a curated record.